RNAcentral lists this long non-coding RNA (327 nucleotides) under Vulpes vulpes (red fox). RNAcentral describes it as "lncRNA (ENSVVUG00000020509.1)". The record is from RNAcentral. Lineage: Eukaryota; Metazoa; Chordata; Mammalia; Carnivora; Canidae.
GUGCUUCCUCACAUUAUCACCAAGAUGAAACUGGACAAAUAUCCAAGAAGCAGUUACUCACAAAAAACAAAACUGUGCAAUCCAAAUAUAUAAUACUCCUGACCUGGAAGGAUGACAAAUGUUCUUCACAUGAAACACAGCAAGGUUGGGACUCUUCAGGCUUGCCUUCUGCAAAUAGUUGGGUAGAAAAACCUUAUUGCAGACAUGGAAAAACUGUGCAGAAAACCCUCUGAUUCUGAGAAUCUCCAAUAUGAAGAAAUACUUUUGAAGGCAGUAACAUAAUGAAUAGAAAAUAAAGAAUACGCAGAAAAAAAAAGAAUUGAACGU